This 253-nucleotide ribosomal RNA is filed under the name uncultured bacterium. Its description in RNAcentral is "partial 16S ribosomal RNA". It matches the Rfam family "Bacterial small subunit ribosomal RNA", at positions 524 to 776 of the family's 1533-position model. The record is from RNAcentral.
UACAGAGGGUGCUAGCGUUGUUCGGAAUCAUUGGGCGUAAAGGGCGCGUAGGCGGCCUGCUAAGUCGGAUGUGAAAUCCCUCGGCUCAACCGAGGAACUGCAUCCGAUACUGGCGGGCUUGAAUCCGGGGGAGGGAUGUGGAAUUCCAGGUGUAGCGGUGAAAUGCGUAGAUAUCUGGAGGAACACCGGUGGCGAAGGCGGCAUCCUGGACCGGCAUUGACGCUGAGGCGCGAAAGCUAGGGGAGCAAACGGG